RNAcentral lists this ribosomal RNA (372 nucleotides) under Bacillus sp. BASZHN0901. Its description in RNAcentral is "bacterial SSU rRNA". It matches the Rfam family "Bacterial small subunit ribosomal RNA", at positions 62 to 424 of the family's 1533-position model. Lineage: Bacteria; Bacillati; Bacillota; Bacilli; Caryophanales; Bacillaceae. The record is from RNAcentral.
UCGAGCGGACAGAUGGGAGCUUGCUCCCUGAUGUUAGCGGCGGACGGGUGAGUAACACGUGGGUAACCUGCCUGUAAGACUGGGAUAACUCCGGGAAACCGGGGCUAAUACCGGAUGGUUGUUUGAACCGCAUGGUUCAAACAUAAAAGGUGGCUUCGGCUACCACUUACAGAUGGACCCGCGGCGCAUUAGCUAGUUGGUGAGGUAACGGCUCACCAAGGCNACGAUGCGUAGCCGACCUGAGAGGGUGAUCGGCCACACUGGGACUGAGACACGGCCCAGACUCCUACGGGAGGCAGCAGUAGGGAAUCUUCCGCAAUGGACGAAAGUCUGACGGAGCAACGCCGCGUGAGUGAUGAAGGUUUUCGGAUC